AGCAGUCGCCACGGGAAUACAGAGGGUGCGAGCGUUAAUCGGAUUUACUGGGCGUAAAGCGUGCGUAGGCGGCUUCUUAAGUCGGAUGUGAAAUCCCUGAGCUUAACUUAGGAAUUGCAUUCGAUACUGGGAAGCUAGAGUAUGGGAGAGGAUGGUAGAAUUCCAGGUGUAGCGGUGAAAUGCGUAGAGAUCUGGAGGAAUACCGAUGGCGAAGGCAGCCAUCUGGCCUAAUACUGACGCUGAGGUACGAAAGCAUGGGGAGCAAACAGGAUUAGAUACCCGGGUAGUCCCUGUCUCUUAUAA
RNAcentral lists this ribosomal RNA (303 nucleotides) under uncultured bacterium. Its description in RNAcentral is "partial 16S ribosomal RNA". It matches the Rfam family "Bacterial small subunit ribosomal RNA", at positions 507 to 809 of the family's 1533-position model. The record is from RNAcentral.